ACUUCCCUCAUGUGCAUGACAAUUUGAAUUUUGCUUGCAUGGGCCUGUGCAAGCAUUUAUCAGGCCCAAUAAUGGUUGCAAAAGCUAGAUGAGAUCAUGUAGAGAGCAAAUGGACGUGUGCAUUGGACUGAACAAGCUUGCAUACUCAAGUUUCAUCAUAAAAUACCAAAAUGCAAAUAAAUGAAGAUAAUUUCGAAACUCACAAAUGGUAGAUCCAAAUGAGUAAUGUGAGUAAUGGUUAGAAA
Molecule: long non-coding RNA, 245 nt
Filed under: Lathyrus oleraceus (garden pea)
Lineage: Eukaryota; Viridiplantae; Streptophyta; Magnoliopsida; Fabales; Fabaceae
Description: Pisum sativum (pea) long non-coding RNA (PSAT_LNC002597)
Source: RNAcentral